GAUGAACGCUGGCGGCGUGCCUAACACAUGCAAGUCGAACGGAGCUGCUUUGAUGAGAUCUUCGGAUGGAUUUAAAACAGCUUAGUGGCGGACGGGUGAGUAACGCGUGGGUAACCUGCCUCACACUGGGGGAUAACAGUUAGAAAUAGCUGCUAAUACCGCAUAAGCGCACGGUUCCGCAUGGAACAGUGUGAAAAACUCCGGUGGUGUGAGAUGGACCCGCGUCUGAUUAGCCAGUUGGCGGGGUAACGGCCCACCAAAGCGACGAUCAGUAGCCGGCCUGAGAGGGUGAACGGCCACAUUGGGACUGAGACACGGCCCAAACUCCUACGGGAGGCAGCAGUGGGGAAUAUUGCACAAUGGGGGAAACCCUGAUGCAGCGACGCCGCGUGAGUGAAGAAGUAUUUCGGUAUGUAAAGCUCUAUCAGCAGGGAAGAAAGUGACGGUACCUGAAUAAGAAGC
This 462-nucleotide ribosomal RNA is filed under the name uncultured bacterium. RNAcentral describes it as "bacterial SSU rRNA". It matches the Rfam family "Bacterial small subunit ribosomal RNA", at positions 28 to 491 of the family's 1533-position model. The record is from RNAcentral.